GAUGAAGAACGUAGCGAAAUGCGAUAAGUAAUGUGAAUUGCAGAAUUCAGUGAAUCAUCGAAUCUUUGAACGCACAUUGCGCCCGCCAGUAUUCUGGCGGGCAUGCCUGUUCGAGCGUCAUUUCAACCAUCAAGCCCCAGGCUUGUGUUGGAGCCCUGCGGCUGCCGCAGCCUCCCAAAACCAGUGGCGGGCUCGCUAUCACACCGAGUGCAGUAGUUUACUCUUCGCUCAGGGCGUGUGGCGGGUGCUAGCCGUAAAACCCCCAACUUCUCAAGGUUGAACUCGGAUCAGGUAGGAAUACCCGCUGAACUUAAGCAUAUCAAUAAGCGGAGGA
Molecule: unclassified non-coding RNA, 334 nt
Filed under: soil metagenome
Description: partial contains 5.8S ribosomal RNA, internal transcribed spacer 2, and large subunit ribosomal RNA
Rfam family: 5.8S ribosomal RNA (bases 1-120)
Source: RNAcentral